RNAcentral lists this ribosomal RNA (349 nucleotides) under Lactiplantibacillus plantarum. Its description in RNAcentral is "Lactobacillus plantarum partial 16S ribosomal RNA". It matches the Rfam family "Bacterial small subunit ribosomal RNA", at positions 76 to 407 of the family's 1533-position model. Lineage: Bacteria; Bacillati; Bacillota; Bacilli; Lactobacillales; Lactobacillaceae. The record is from RNAcentral.
GUGCUUGCAUCAUGAUUUACAUUUGAGUGAGUGGCGAACUGGUGAGUAACACGUGGGAAACCUGCCCAGAAGCGGGGGAUAACACCUGGAAACAGAUGCUAAUACCGCAUAACAACUUGGACCGCAUGGUCCGAGUUUGAAAGAUGGCUUCSGCUAUCACUUUUGGAUGGKCCCGCGGCGUAUUARCUARAUGGUGRGGUAACGGCUCACCAUGGCAAUGAUACGUARCCGACCUGAGAGGGUAAUCSGCCACAUUGGGACUGAGACACGGCCCAAACUCCUACGGGAGGCAGCAGUARGGAAUCUUCCACAAUGGACGAAAGUCUGAUGGAGCAACGCCSCGUGAGUG